Molecule: ribosomal RNA, 484 nt
Filed under: uncultured bacterium
Lineage: Bacteria
Description: bacterial SSU rRNA
Rfam family: Bacterial small subunit ribosomal RNA
Source: RNAcentral
GAUCCUGGCUCAGGACGAACGCUGGCGGCGUGCUUCAUACAUGCAAGUCGAACGAGAAGCUGACUUCGGUCAGUGGAAAGUGGCGGACGGGUGAGUAAUAUGUAGAGAAUCUGCCCUUGAGUGGGGGACAACAGAGGGAAACUUCUGCUAAUACCCCAUAUGAGCUAACUUGAAAUAGUUAUCUUGAAAACUCCGGUGCUCAAGGAUGAGUCUGCAUCUGAUUAGCUAGUUGGCGGUGUAAUGGACCACCAAGGCGACGAUCAGUAGCUGGUUUGAGAGGAUGAUCAGCCACAAUGGGACUGAGACACGGCCCAUACUCCUACGGGAGGCAGCAGUAGGGAAUUUUGCGCAAUGGGCGAAAAAGCCUGACGCAGCAACGCCGCGUGAACGAUUAAGCCCUUCGGGGUGUAAAGUUCUGUCAGUAGGGACGAAUUUUGACGGUACCUACAGAGGAAGCACCGGCUAACUCCGUGCCAGCCGCCGC